CCCGCAGACCGCCUUAUCGUCGUCUUAUUUAUAGGAGGGAGGAAAGUCCGGACACCAAAGAGAAGCAUAGCGGGUAACACCCGUCAUCCCGAUUUAUCGGGAUAGGACAAGUGCAACAGAAAGUAUGUACAGGUAAUGCUGUAGUGAAACCAGGUAAACUCUAUGCGGUGAAAUUUCAAGUAUAUCAGCAUUUAAGGGUUUCUCGUCCGUUGCUGAAGGGUAGAAAGAUUGAUUCCGAGAGUAAUUUCGGAGCUAGAUAAAUGAUAAGGACUCCGAUUUAUCGGAGUACAGAAUCCGGCUUAUAGGUCUGCAUUUUUU
This 318-nucleotide RNase P RNA is filed under the name Flavobacterium terrigena. RNAcentral's name for it is "Bacterial RNase P class A". It matches the Rfam family "Bacterial RNase P class A". Rfam says of the family: Ribonuclease P (RNase P) is a ubiquitous endoribonuclease, found in archaea, bacteria and eukarya as well as chloroplasts and mitochondria. Its best characterised activity is the generation of mature 5'-ends of tRNAs by cleaving the 5'-leader elements of precursor-tRNAs. Cellular RNase Ps are ribonucleoproteins. The record is from RNAcentral. Lineage: Bacteria; Pseudomonadati; Bacteroidota; Flavobacteriia; Flavobacteriales; Flavobacteriaceae.